Molecule: long non-coding RNA, 349 nt
Organism: Neltuma alba
Lineage: Eukaryota; Viridiplantae; Streptophyta; Magnoliopsida; Fabales; Fabaceae
Exons: 2
Source: RefSeq, a predicted model, not a curated record
GAAAUCAGGGAAACACUACAGCAUCUGGCACUCAGACCCAGGGCUCCAAUAUAAAAGAUGGCACUUCAAUCCCUAAUGGUCAAGAUGUCAGGUCCCCCUCUGGUUGAACACCAUGACUCUCUUCAUUUCAUUUUCAGAUGAUCAUCAAGUGCCGGUCUUGAUAAAAAGAAUAAGGGAAGCAAAAUAUUAUAGCGCAGUUCUAUCAUAAUUAUAUAGCUAGCAAGAAUAAGAAUACGAUGAAGAAUAUUAUUCAACUUUUUCUUUUUUGGUUUUGUUUUGCGUCUAGAAAUGAUUUGUUGUUCUUGUUGCUUCCCAUAAAUAAUAUACAAAGUCAAGUGUCUGAGUAGUU